UGAUUUUUUUUAAUAGAGCGUUAAAGUUUUGCGAAGCCAGGGGGCGGGGUUACUUGAUUGACAGUCUGGUCUGGAAUGAUUGACAGGUCCUAUGGAGGAGGAAGCAGAGACUCUGCUCUCCUCGUUUGGAUUAAUUCUGAUAUAAUAACUGUUGGUUUAUUUAUCGGUGGAGCAGCAGAACCUUUUCCACAGACAGUUUUCCUGCCCGUUGGCUUGUUUUAACCAGUUUUCUGCCUUUGGCUGAUUCUACCAGCAGACACUGAAAGGACUCUGAUUGUUCAGUCCCUCUCUAUCUCCCCACACAUCCACCAACCACUGGAACACAUCUCCAAAGUUCUGUUGGGCCAGCUCAGCUUCCCCUCAGAAGAAGUUCCACCAGAUGAAGGAGCCUUUUGAGAGGCAGUUGGCAUCGUGAUUGGACUGUACUUUGUUCUGUUCCAAUCCAGCUUCAGCUCCAGAGACGGCAGGCGGGACGAGUCAACGGAGGCCGGGUGGACGAAGGCAUGCAGCAGAGUACAAUCCAGAAAACAACAGAGGAGGAAUGCAGCGGCUCAGUAUAGCCUUCGGUCCCUCUCUAUCUCCCCACACAUCCACCAACCACUGGAACACAUCUCCAAAGUUCUGCCGGGCCAGCUCAGCUUCCCCUCAGAAGAAGUGCCGCCACCAGCCAGAUGAAGGAGCCUUUUGAGAGGCAGCUGGCAUCGUGAUUGGACUGUACUUUGGUCUGUUCCAAUCCAGCUUCAGCUCCAGAGACGGCAGGCGGGACGAGUCAACGGAGGCCUGGUGGACGAAGGCAUGCAGCUGAGUACAAUCCAGAAAACAACAGAGGAGGAGUGCAACGGCUCAGUAUAGCCUUUGACCAAAGAACUACAGACUCUUCACAACCUGCUCAAACUCUUGGUACAGGACCUCACCACACGGGUCAAGAAGGUUUCUGUCUCAUUUCUACUCUGAAGCUCACCUUCUCCUGCUCAAACUGCUGACAAAUGUUUCUGCUGCUCUAAAGUCUGCUCUCCAGAACUUCCUAAAAACUCUCAAAGUCUCUUCUGCUGCAGGCUGCUUUGUAGAACUGUUCCAGAAAACCUCACUAAACCACAUGGAGGAGCCUCAAGAUAGUCGUCCAAAUGAAACCAUACAAAAACCAAACUAGCACAACCCAAACGCUAAAGUCUCCUGCAGCCUACCAGAGAACCUCUGAGAACAGAGAAUCAGGACAGGAACUCUUACCUUCUGGACAACCAACGUUGGUUCACAAACACACAGAAUGUGUCUGACCAAAAACCUCUAAACACUCCCUACAGCCAAGAUAAAGACACAACUCAGCUGUACCAAAUCCACUAAUCACUGCACACAUAACUGUGGCUAAAGAACCACAUUUAC
Long non-coding RNA from Amphiprion ocellaris (clown anemonefish), 1380 nucleotides. RefSeq lists it as uncharacterized. The record is from RefSeq and is a predicted model, not a curated record. The transcript has 4 exons. NCBI's taxonomy places the organism in Eukaryota, Metazoa, Chordata, Actinopteri, Pomacentridae.